RNAcentral lists this ribosomal RNA (448 nucleotides) under Camellia pachyandra. RNAcentral describes it as "partial large subunit ribosomal RNA". It matches the Rfam family "Eukaryotic large subunit ribosomal RNA", at positions 2927 to 3377 of the family's 3401-position model. Lineage: Eukaryota; Viridiplantae; Streptophyta; Magnoliopsida; Ericales; Theaceae. The record is from RNAcentral.
GAUUGUUCACCCACCAAUAGGGAACGUGAGCUGGGUUUAGACCAUCGUGAGACAGGUUUGUUUUACCCUACUAAUGUUAGUGUCGUAAUAGUAAUUCAACCUAGUACGAGAGGAACCGUUGAUUCACAUAAUUAGUCAUCGCGAUUGGUUGAAAAGCUAGUGGCAUGAAGCUACCGUGCGAUGGAUUAUGACUGAACGCCUUUAAGUUAGAAUUCGAGCUAGAAGCGAUGCCUGCGCCCGCCGCCCACUUGCCGACCAGCAAUAGGGGUCGUCCGUCCCCUAAAGGCACGUGUCGUUCGUAAAGCCCGCGGAGCAGAUGAGUCAUGCGGGCCCCUUUAAAGUACAAUUCCUAUCUCGAGCAGCAGGUAGAAUCCUUUGCAGAUAACUUUAAUACACGACGGGGUAUUGUAAGUGGUAGAGUGGCCUUGCUGACAAGAUCCACUGAGAU